Molecule: long non-coding RNA, 550 nt
Filed under: Homo sapiens (human)
Lineage: Eukaryota; Metazoa; Chordata; Mammalia; Primates; Hominidae
Description: non-protein coding LINC02286:15
Source: RNAcentral
GGUAUUUAAUUGUUCCCUGAGGUUUAAGGCAGUGGACUGAGGAUAAUACAGGCUCCAGCUUUCAUUAGUUCAAUGGAUGAUGCUGUUCAAUCCAUACUGUUUGGGGCAUUUGUUGAAAAUGUCAUUCAGAAGAUAUCAACACUUUCUGAGUCAUGGUUUGAUUGAAUUUAUAGAAUUAUGUGAUAGAAACCACAUUCUUCACAAAAGUCACAAGGCAAUAAUGACGACAAGGGUUGAAGAUGAAAGAUGCCAAAUAUUCUGAUCAAUUCAAUAAGGCAAAAAGACAAGUUAAUUCACUCAGUGCUCCAGGCAUCAACUUCAUAGAAGGAAUGGAAAUUCUACCUGUUUCCUAAAGAACUACAGAGGUGUACACCAAACGGAGGGCAAAUGCUGUUACCACUCAUCGUGCAAGACUUUUGAGGCAAUUUGGACAUAGACAAGUGAUGGGAAAAUUGAAUCAUUAUAUGGCUCAUGACAGUGUUGAAAACUCAAACAUCCAAGGACCUGUACCUUUGCUAAGUGCCAUGCAUAUGUUGCUGAUAAAGAUGCA